CCUACGGGGUGCAGCAGUGGGGAAUAUUGGACAAUGGGCGAAAGCCUGAUCCAGCCAUGCCGCGUGUGUGAAGAAGGCCUUCGGGUUGUAAAGCACUUUCAGUGGGGAAGAAAGCCUUGGGGUUAAUACCCUCGAGGAAGGACAUCACCCACAGAAGAAGCACCGGCUAACUCCGUGCCAGCAGCCGCGGUAAUACGGAGGGUGCGAGCGUUAAUCGGAAUUACUGGGCGUAAAGCGCGCGUAGGCGGUCUGAUAAGCCGGUUGUGAAAGCCCCGGGCUCAACCUGGGAACGGCAUCCGGAACUGUCAGGCUAGAGUGCAGGAGAGGAAGGUAGAAUUCCCGGUGUAGCGGUGAAAUGCGUAGAGAUCGGGAGGAAUACCAGUGGCGAAGGCGGCCUUCUGGACUGACACUGACGCUGAGGUGCGAAAGCGUGGGUAGCAAACAGGAUUAGAUACCCGUGUAGUC
This 465-nucleotide ribosomal RNA is filed under the name Vreelandella stevensii. RNAcentral describes it as "partial 16S ribosomal RNA". It matches the Rfam family "Bacterial small subunit ribosomal RNA", at positions 338 to 795 of the family's 1533-position model. Lineage: Bacteria; Pseudomonadati; Pseudomonadota; Gammaproteobacteria; Oceanospirillales; Halomonadaceae. The record is from RNAcentral.